CCCCCUGUAGCCCAACCGGCAGAGGCAGUCGACUUAAAAUCGAUACAGUGUGGGUUCGAAUCCCACCAGGGGGA
RNAcentral lists this transfer RNA (74 nucleotides) under Nesterenkonia alkaliphila. It matches the Rfam family "tRNA". From Rfam's summary of the family: Transfer RNA (tRNA) molecules are approximately 80 nucleotides in length. Lineage: Bacteria; Bacillati; Actinomycetota; Actinomycetes; Micrococcales; Micrococcaceae. The record is from Rfam by way of RNAcentral.